AUUCUGAGCAGCAUGAAGAUUGCCCAGGGUACGGAUCAUCCCUUUGUCCAGCAAAUUCACACAUAGUCAUUUAGUAGCUGCCUUUGUUAUCAGAUUGACUAUUAUACUCUCGUAGCUUUUGUGUCCAAAUAAUGCUUGUUUGAUUUCCCAAAGCUCAAGGGUAGUGAUGCGGGCAAUCCUCUUUUUAGAUGUACCAAAGAGAAGACAUAAAGUGUUUCCUUUAGCAAAAAGUUGAAAGUUCUCAAUUUAGGAAGGAAAGAAAGAAAUUCAUACCUCAGCAAGGGACACCCUGGAAGGAGUAGGGCUUCCUAACCCACAAACUAAACUUUGUCAUGGGUAUAUAUGGACGGGGAAAACAGGGUAAGUAGGGUUGGUGUGAUCUGCAGUUGUGGGUAUUCACGGUCGGUCUCGCAACUCAGUAGUAAGGGUUAAUUACUGUGGACCUCAAUUCUCACAGCUCUCACAGGAUUCACCAAAGGGGAGGCCCACAGUGACUCAUGGAACCGGAGCCAGAGGUAACAUUCUUCCAGGCUCAGGUUGCCUUCUCUGUACCUGUCUUAAAAUCCGUGUCAUUAUGAACAAACAGCCUCCUGAGGAAUUUACGCAUCAUGGUCCAGCCCGUGACUUCUGCUUAUAUAGUGCAUGCUGUUGUGUUCUUGGGUCAACACUUGACAAAGCAAGUUGCACGGUGGAGAGACUGAGGAACAGAGCACAACCUCUCACUGUAGGCUGGAAGGAACCGCAUCCAGUCAGCACUGCCUGGGAAGAGUGGUUUCUCUGGCUGAGCUUCGUGACCACUGCUGGGCCAUCGCAGAUCUGUUAGAUGAGUGAUGGCAGAGGCUCCAACUAAGGUGUGCCUACAUCGCAAGGCCAAAGAAACUGAGAGAGGAAUAAUUAAGGACAGAAAAUGAAAAGUUCUCAGCUGUGACGAAUGCGUGCUACUGAAAUCCAAGACGAUGUUGUGAGCCGUCUUCUUCCAAACCAUGAAAGACUGCACAGUCCUCUGGGCAAUGAAAUAAGAAAACAGAACCAAUGAGCUUCACAGUUUCAUCACCUUCUAGGGCCUUCCAUCAUUCUUCCAUUCUCAUUGUUUUAGUCUUUUAAAAAUACUUCUGGACUAAUUACAGAGUGAUGAUGACAUAAACCUUGAGGUUAUGAAAUAGGUAAACACUUCAAAACAUAGACAACAUGAGAUUGUUUAUAUAUCAUGAAGUCAUAAAAGAAUUCAA
Non-coding RNA from Heterocephalus glaber (naked mole-rat), 1229 nucleotides. NCBI's taxonomy places the organism in Eukaryota, Metazoa, Chordata, Mammalia, Rodentia, Bathyergidae. The record is from RefSeq and is a predicted model, not a curated record.